GACGAACGCUGGCGGCGUGCUUAACACAUGCAAGUCGAACGAUGAAGAAGAGAAACGCGAACUUCGGUUCAACUUUCACUUCGGAUUAGUGGCAGACGGGUGAGUAACGCGUGAGCAACCUACCUCUUACAAAGGGAUAGCCUCGGGAAACCGUGAUUAAUACCAUAUGACACAUUCAUAAGGCAUCUUAAGAAUGUUAAAGCUACGGCGGUAAGAGAUGGGCUCGCGUCCCAUUAGCUAGUUGGUGAGGUAACGGCCCACCAAGGCGACGAUGGGUAACCGGGCUGGGAGGGGUAACGGUCACAUUUGAACUGAGACACGGUCCAAACUCCUACGGGAGGCAGGAGGUGGGAAUAUUGCACAAUGGAGGGAACUCUGAUGCCGCGACGCCGCGUGAGCGAUGAAGGAAUUCGUUUCGGAAAGCUCUGUUCUAUGGGAAGAAAAGGACUGUACCAAAGGAGAAAGCCCCGGCUAAAUACGUG
This 482-nucleotide ribosomal RNA is filed under the name uncultured bacterium. RNAcentral describes it as "partial 16S ribosomal RNA". It matches the Rfam family "Bacterial small subunit ribosomal RNA", at positions 28 to 507 of the family's 1533-position model. The record is from RNAcentral.